AAUCAAUUUAAAAUGGAUCAGAGACCUAAAUUCAAGACCUGUAAUUUUGAGACUAAAAGAAAAUGUUGAAGUGGGCUGAGGAUUUAGCUCAGUGGCACCGUGCCUGCCUCGCAAGUGCAAGGUCCUGGGUUCGAUCCCCAGUACCAGAAAAAAAAAAAAAAAAAGAAAAGAAAAUGUAGAGGAAAUACUUGAAGCUAUCAUAGGCAUGGCAAAAGCUUCCCGAAGAGGACUCCACCAGCACAAGAAACAGUGGCAAGAAUCAAAAUAGGGGACCACAUCAAAUUAGAAAGUUUCUGCACAGUAAGGAAAACAACAGAAUGGAAAGACAGCCUACAGAAUAGGAAAAAAAUCUCUACCACCUAUUCUUCUGACAGAGGAUCAAUAUCUAGAAUAUAUAAAGAGCUAAAAAAACCCCACCAAAACAUCAAGUAGGCCAAUCAAUAAAUGGGCAAAUGAAUUGAACAUUUCUCAAAAGAAGUAGAAAUGCAGUAAGUAUGUGAAAAAAUCUUUGGCCAUUAAGGAAAUAUGAAUCAAAACUACCUUGAGAUUCUAUCUCACCCCUGUCAGAAUGAUCAUCAUCAAAAAUACAACAAAUAAUAAAUGCUGGUGAGAAUGUGGAGAAAAAAGAACCCUUCUACACUGCUGAUGGGAAUGUAAAUUAGUACAGUCACUAUGGAGAUCAGUAAAAAUAGAGCUACCAUUUGAUUUGGCUAUAACACUCCUUGGAAUAUACUCAAAGCAAUUAAAGUCAACAUACUAUAUAGCCAACAUAUGGAACCAACCUAGGUGCCUAUCAACAGACACAUGGAUACCAGAAUAUAUGGUACGUAUACACAAUGGAGUAUUGUUCAACCACAAAGAAGAAGGACAUUCUGUCAUCUGUAGGAAAAUGGAUGGAUCUGGAGAUCAUGAUGUUGAGCAAAAUAAGCCAGAUUCAGAAAGACAAAUAUUUCAUGUUUUCUCUAAUAAUGUGGAAUCUAAAAAAGAUGACAAGAAAAUAGAAGGAAGACUAUCAUUAGACAAUAGGAAGUCCCCCCAGGCGGGAGAGGAGAGUGUAAGGGCAGGUAAUGGGGGGAUAAAUAUGAUCAAAGCAUGCAGAGUGUGCCCAAAAUGGGUACACAUGUUAGUAAGAGGAAAAUAGCAUGGGCCCAUUCAGUCCCUGGUACAAGAGAAAGAGCAAGCAAGCAAGCAGGCAGGCAAGCAGGCAAGCAAGCAAGCAGGCAAGCAAGCAAGCAAGCAGGCAAGCAGGCAAGCAAGCAAGCAGGCAGGCAAGCAAGCAAGCAAGCAGGCAGGCAAGCAAGCAAGCAGGCAGGCAAGCAAGCAAGCAAGCAAGCAGGCAAGCAAGCAAGCAAGCAAGCAGGCAAGCAAGCAAGCAAGCAAGCAGGCAAGCAAGCAAGCAGGCAAGCAAGCAG
This 1412-nucleotide long non-coding RNA is filed under the name Heterocephalus glaber (naked mole-rat). Its description in RNAcentral is "lncRNA (ENSHGLG00000048886.1)". Lineage: Eukaryota; Metazoa; Chordata; Mammalia; Rodentia; Bathyergidae. The record is from RNAcentral.